UCCCUGGUGGCUUAGAGGGUAAAGCAUCUGCCUGCAAUGUGGGAGACCUGGGUUCAAUCCCUGGGUUGGGAA
This 72-nucleotide transfer RNA is filed under the name Ovis aries (sheep). It matches the Rfam family "tRNA". Rfam says of the family: Transfer RNA (tRNA) molecules are approximately 80 nucleotides in length. Their secondary structure includes four short double-helical elements and three loops (D, anti-codon, and T loops). Further hydrogen bonds mediate the characteristic L-shaped molecular structure. tRNAs have two regions of fundamental functional importance: the anti-codon, which is responsible for specific mRNA codon recognition, and the 3' end, to which the tRNAs corresponding amino acid is attached (by aminoacyl-tRNA synthetases). tRNAs cope with the degeneracy of the genetic code in two manners: having more than one tRNA (with a specific anti-codon) for a particular amino acid; and 'wobble' base-pairing, i.e. permitting non-standard base-pairing at the 3rd anti-codon position. RNAcentral also lists the same sequence under 1 other name. The record is from Rfam by way of RNAcentral. Lineage: Eukaryota; Metazoa; Chordata; Mammalia; Artiodactyla; Bovidae.